GCAGCACAUAUACUAACUAUACUAAAACUGGAACGAUAUAGAGAUUAGCAUGGCCCCUGUGCAAGGAUGACACACAAAUUUGUGAAACGUUACAUAUUAAA
Oryctolagus cuniculus (rabbit) is the source of this 101-nucleotide small nuclear RNA. The record is from Ensembl. Lineage: Eukaryota; Metazoa; Chordata; Mammalia; Lagomorpha; Leporidae.